GAAAAGAAACCAACAGGGAUUGCCUCAGUAACGGCGAGUGAAGCGGCAACAGCUCAAAUUUGAAAUCUGGCCUACGCCCGAGUUGUAAUUUGUAGAGGAUGCCUUUGGUACGGCGCCUUCCGAGUUCCCUGGAACGGGACGCCAUAGAGGGUGAGAGCCCCGUAUGGUUGGACGCUAGGCCUUUGUAGGGCUCCUUCGACGAGUCGAGUAGUUUGGGAAUGCUGCUCAAAAUGGGAGGUAAAUUUCUUCUAAAGCUAAAUACCGGCCAGAGACCGAUAGCGCACAAGUAGAGUGAUCGAAAGAUGAAAAGCACUUUGAAAAGAGGGUUAAAUAGCACGUGAAAUUGUUGAAAGGGAAGCGCUCAUGACCAGACUUGUGCCGUGCGAAUCAUCCAGCGUUCUCGCUGGUGCACUUCGCCCGGCCCAGGCCAGCAUCGGUUUUCGUAGGGAGAUAAAGACUUCGGGAACGUGGCUCCUCCGGGAGUGUUAUAGCCCGCUGUAUAAUAUCCUUACGGGGACCGAGGUUCGCGCUCUGCAAGGAUGCUGGCGUAAUGGUCAUUAGCGACCCGUCUUGAAACACGGACCAAGGAGUCGUCGUCUUGCGCGAGUGUUUGGGUGUAAAACCCGCACGCGUAAUGAAAGUAAACGUGGGUGAGAGCUUCGGCGCAUCAUCGACCGAUCCUGAUGUCUUCGGAUGGAUUUGAGUAGGAGCGUAUGGCGACGGACCCGAAAGAUGGUGAACUAUGCCUGUAUAGGGUGAAGCCAGAGGAAACUCUGGUGGAGGCUCGCAGCGGUUCUGACGUGCAAAUCGAUCGUCAAAUAUGGGCAUGGGGGCGAAAGACUAAUCGAACCAUCUAGUAGCUGGUUACCGCCGAAGUUUCCCUCAGGAUAGCAGUGUUGUUUUCAGUUUUAUGAGGUAAAGCGAAUGAUUAGGGACUCGGGGGCGCUAUAUUGCCUUCAUCCAUUCUCAAACUUUAAAUAUGUAAGAAGAUUUUGUUUCUUAGCUGAACGAAGUCAUUCGAAUGUAUCAACACUAGUGGGCCAUUUUUGGUAAGCAGAACUGGCGAUGCGGGAUGAACCGAACGCGGGGUUAAGGUGCCAGAGUAGACGCUCAUCAGACACCA
RNAcentral lists this ribosomal RNA (1123 nucleotides) under Teracosphaeria petroica. Its description in RNAcentral is "eukaryotic LSU rRNA". It matches the Rfam family "Eukaryotic large subunit ribosomal RNA", at positions 56 to 1214 of the family's 3401-position model. The record is from RNAcentral. Lineage: Eukaryota; Fungi; Ascomycota; Sordariomycetes.